GUUCGAUUCCGGAGAGGGAGCCUGAGAAACGGCUACCACAUCUAAGGAAGGCAGCAGGCGCGCAAAUUACCCAAUCCUAAUACAGGGAGGUAGUGACAAGAAAUAACAAUACAGGACUUUAACAGUUUUGUAAUUGGAAUGAGUUGAGUAUAAACCCCUUUACAAGUAUCAAUUGGAGGGCAAGUCUGGUGCCAGCAGCCGCGGUAAUUCCAGCUCCAAUAGCGUAUAUUAAAGUUGUUGCAGUUAAAAAGCUCGUAGUUGGAUUUCUGUUAAUAAUUUAUAUAUAAUAUUUAACAUAUUUAUAUAAUAUUAACAUAAUUCAUAUUACUAUUUAUAGUAUAUGAAACUUUACUUUGAGAAAAUUAGAGUGCUUAAAGCAGGCUUU
RNAcentral lists this ribosomal RNA (385 nucleotides) under Cryptosporidium canis. RNAcentral's name for it is "SSU rRNA". It matches the Rfam family "Eukaryotic small subunit ribosomal RNA", at positions 375 to 788 of the family's 1831-position model. Lineage: Eukaryota; Apicomplexa; Conoidasida; Eucoccidiorida; Cryptosporidiidae. The record is from RNAcentral.